CAACUCGCCUGCAUGAAGUUGGAAUUGCUAGUAAUCGCGAAUCAGAAUGUCGCGGUGAAUACGUUCCCGGGCCUUGUGCACACCGCCCGUCACACCAUGAGAGUCGAUAACACCCGAAGCCUGUGAGCUAACCUUUUAGGAGGCAGCAGUCGAAGGUGGGUUNAUGAUUGGGGUGAAGUCGUAACAAGGUAAC
RNAcentral lists this ribosomal RNA (193 nucleotides) under uncultured bacterium. RNAcentral's name for it is "partial 16S ribosomal RNA". It matches the Rfam family "Bacterial small subunit ribosomal RNA", at positions 1308 to 1500 of the family's 1533-position model. The record is from RNAcentral.